Molecule: ribosomal RNA, 373 nt
Filed under: Treculia africana
Lineage: Eukaryota; Viridiplantae; Streptophyta; Magnoliopsida; Rosales; Moraceae
Description: eukaryotic LSU rRNA
Rfam family: 5.8S ribosomal RNA (bases 16-171)
Source: RNAcentral
GGUUUAAGUCAAAACGACUCUCGGCAACGGAUAUCUCGGCUCUCGCAUCGAUGAAGAACGUAGCGAACUGCGAUACUUGGUGUGAAUUGCAGUAUCCCGUGAACCAUCGAGUCUUUGAACGCAAGUUGCGCCCGAAGCCAUUCGGCCGAGGGCACGUCUGCCUGGGCGUCACACAUCGUUGCCCCCCUAAAAACCCCACUCCACUCCUUGUUGGGUGUGUUGUGGAUCGAUCAGGGGCGGAGGAUGGCCUCCCGUGCGCACUUUGACUCGCGGUUGGUCCAAAAUUGAGUCCUCGGUCACAUCUUCGUGGCAAUAGGUGGUUGUCGAUCAUUCGGUGCCCCGUCACGUGUGUCGGCCUUGCAUCGGGACUCUU